Molecule: ribosomal RNA, 370 nt
Filed under: uncultured organism
Description: bacterial SSU rRNA
Rfam family: Bacterial small subunit ribosomal RNA
Source: RNAcentral
CGAAGGGGGCUAGCGUUGUUCGGAAUUACUGGGCGUAAAGCGUGCGCAGGCGGUUGUUUAAGUCAGCUGUGAAAUCCCCGGGCUUAACCUGGGAAUGGCAGUUGAGACUGGACGGCUAGAGUGUGUCAGAGGGGGGUAGAAUUCCACGUGUAGCAGUGAAAUGCGUAGAGAUGUGGAGGAAUACCGAUGGCGAAGGCAGCCCCCUGGGAUAACACUGACGCUCAUGCACGAAAGCGUGGGGAGCAAACAGGAUUAGAUACCCUGGUAGUCCACGCCCUAAACGAUGUCAACUAGUUGUCGGGACUUAAUUGUCUUGGUAACGCAGCUAACGCGUGAAGUUGACCGCCUGGGGAGUACGGUCGCAAGAUUA